This 467-nucleotide ribosomal RNA is filed under the name uncultured bacterium. Its description in RNAcentral is "bacterial SSU rRNA". It matches the Rfam family "Bacterial small subunit ribosomal RNA", at positions 31 to 518 of the family's 1533-position model. The record is from RNAcentral.
GAACGCUGGCGGCAUGGAUUAGGCAUGCAAGUCGAACGUACUCCCUUCGGGGAGAAAGUGGCGAAAGGGUGAGUAACACGUGAGCAACCUGCCUCCGGAUCCGGAAUAAUCCAGGGAAACUUUGGUCUAAAACCGGAUGAAGACAUUGGUCCGCAUGGUCUAAUGUUAAAAUAUUUAUAGUCCGGAGAGGGGCUCGCGGCCCAUUAGCUUGUUGGCGGGGUAAUGGCCCACCAAGGCUACGACGGGUAGGUGGUCUGAGAGGAUGGUCACCCACACUGGGACUGAGACACUGCCCAGACUCCUACGGGAGGCUGCAGUCGAGAAUCUUCCGCAAUGGGCGCCAAGCCUGACGGAGCGAUGCCGCGUGAGGGAUGGAGGCCUUCGGGUUGUAAACCUCUGUCAUCCGGGACGAAAACAAUGACGGUACCGGAAAAGGAAGCCACGGCUAACCACGUGCCAGCCGCCGC